Molecule: ribosomal RNA, 288 nt
Filed under: uncultured bacterium
Lineage: Bacteria
Description: partial 16S ribosomal RNA
Rfam family: Bacterial small subunit ribosomal RNA
Source: RNAcentral
GGUACCUACGGGGGGCAGCAGUGAGGAAUAUUGGUCAAUGGGCGGGAGCCUGAACCAGCCAAGUCGCGUGAGGGAAGACGGUCCUACGGAUUGUAAACCUCUUUUGCCGGGGAGCAACGGGGUCCUUGCGAGGGCCCGAUGAGAGUACCCGGAGAAAAAGCAUCGGCUAACUCCGUGCCAGCAGCCGCGGUAAUACGGAGGAUGCGAGCGUUAUCCGGAUUUAUUGGGUUUAAAGGGUGCGUAGGCGGUCCGGAAAGUCAGCGGUAAAAGCCCGGGGCUCAACCACGG